This 414-nucleotide ribosomal RNA is filed under the name Triticum aestivum (bread wheat). Its description in RNAcentral is "partial small subunit ribosomal RNA". The record is from RNAcentral. Lineage: Eukaryota; Viridiplantae; Streptophyta; Magnoliopsida; Poales; Poaceae.
AUGUCCAACUCCACCGUGCUGCUGAUCGGCGCCUCCGUGGCCGUGCUCGCCGUGCUCUCCGUCUUCACCUUCGUCUGCUCAAACCGGCGGCGGGUGAACCGUGCGUCGCGGUCGCCGUCGCUGCCGAGGGUCGACGUGGGCGUGGAGCAAGGUGGUGACCGGUCCGCUGCCACGGCAGGGAUCGACGAGGCCGCCCUGGCUGCGUUCCCGACCAUGGUGUAUUCCAGGGCCACAACAGGCGAGGAUGGCACGACGUGCGCGGUGUGCCUGGCGGACUACGCGGACGGCGACGAGCUCCGCCGGCUGCCGGGGUGCCGGCAUGUGUUCCACCAGCGGUGCGUCGACGACUGGCUGCGGCAGCGGACGAGCUGCCCGCUCUGCCGCGCGGCGCCGCCGACCACCGGCGCGGGCUAA